Molecule: long non-coding RNA, 2584 nt
Filed under: Citrus sinensis (sweet orange)
Lineage: Eukaryota; Viridiplantae; Streptophyta; Magnoliopsida; Sapindales; Rutaceae
Description: long non-coding RNA (CSIN_LNC000808)
Source: RNAcentral
AAAAGCCUCCAUUCUUGUAACGCCACAAAUUCCCAUACAUAUUAAAUUAUAGAAAUUGGGCUUUCAUUAAGAAUUAUGGGUGGCCUAUAACCCUUAUUUAGAAAGGGGUACUAAUUAAAUAGAGGUUAUUUAUGAGAUCAUUUUGGAAAAGGGUUAUUUUUCCUUAUUGAAUAGGGUUUCUUAAGAUCCCCUAUAAAUACAUACUUUUCCCCCUUCCAUAACCCUAAGUUCACAACAUUUAUUCUUCUUCUCUGCUGCUCUUUACGCUCUUACCCAAAUCUUAGGAUUCAAACCUUUGUUUAGGAGAGAAUCAAGCGACGGGUAAGUUGUUCUCCAUGUUCUCAACAGAUUUCUAAUCACUCUAUCUAACUAGGGUUUAUAUUAGCACGAUUCUAAUGGUUGUAGAUCAUGAUGCAUGGUUUAGAAUAUAUUUAGACUUUGCUUAGGGUUUUGAUUUAGUAUGAGUUUAGUUAAUCAAUCCUUGACGUAUUAAGCACAGGAUAAUUCUGGACAGCAUGAGGAUCUCGAAUUUUAAAGCUAUAUUUUCUGAACGAAUUUUCUUAUAAAAUUUAUAUUUCUGGAAACUAGACAUGUAGGGCUUCUUGAUUAAAUUUUAUUUCAUUAAAUUCAACUUCGUUUUCAAUUUUAUACGUAUUUUGGAAAUAGAAACCACUGCACUGGAAAUCCACGAUUCCAGUAUUGUGAUCAGAUUCACAAGACUAUUUAUACCACCAAAUGAACUCAAAAAAUUUUGAAAGUUUAUAUGUAUGUUAAUAUAUGUGUCUAGGAUUCGCAGUUUUAAUUUCAUAAUUUUCGGAUUAGUAUUUUAUUUUAUAAAAAUCACGGAACCCGUUCUGUUUGGUUUAGAUUAUGUGAAAACAGUUUCGAAUUUGCUGAGAAGUAAAUAGUUUUUAAAAUAUUUUUAAUAUUGGAUUCUCUUGUAAAUUUUACAUGGGGUACUCAUGGAUGUCCAGAAUGGUUCCAUAGGAUUUUAUAUCAUUCUGAGACUUGGAUUAAGAGUUAAAAUUCUGAGAAUCAGACCUGUACGGGUAUGAAUUAGAAAAUCAAAUUCUUAGAAUAAGUUAUUGAUUGUCAUAUCUUGUAUUUGUUUAAGGUUUUGAAGGUGUUUGAGGCUCUUAGAAGCUUAGAGGUGUGUUAAUCCAAGUUCAUUUGUCGAGGUAAGUAACUUCAUUCCUAAUGUACUGGAUAUGUAGAAGUAUUUUGAUAUUAUUAUUAUAAGUAUAAAUGUUUUGAUACUACUUAAAGGAUUACUAAUUUUGAUAACAAAAUUAGCUUUAUGUAAAUGUUUUCAAACCAUUCUUUUUAACAAAGUAUUUUAUAAAUGCUUUUUAAUAUGUAAAUGAUUUUAUGACAUGACAACCUUUUAUGAUGUUAUCUUUAAAAUGUUAUGCAAGCCUAUAUUAUUGAUAUGAACUUUUAUAAAUCUGAUACGAAUGUUUUGUACCCAUAUAUGAUUUCAAUUACUGAUAAUUGUAUGAGAUUCCUAAUGUUUUGGCUCAUUGUCCAUAGUUAUUCUGAUUCUGAUUCUGAUCGUAAUAUACGAUAUAUCUGUCUGGACCAGUACUGGGUUUCUGUUCUGAAUGUGCACACGAUAUUCUGAUUAUGUUUCUGGCCGGGUCACCGGGACUAUAGGUGACACUAUGUGACAAGAGCUAACCUUUUUGUUUCUGUAUAAGUAUUAUAUGAUUUGUUUCGUAAGUAAAUAUGCUUUUCGAUAUUUUGAAUUAUUAAGAAUUUAUGUGAUGUUAUCGUGAAAUAUCGUUUUAUGAAAUUUAUGGAUUAUGAUAUAUGUUUUAAUAAAAAAAAAGGGCUUGCAAUAUUUUUUGUAUCGAUAGGCCUAGUGUGUUAGGAAUGGUUUUACUUACCGAGUUGACAGCUCACCCCUCGUCAUUACUUUUUGCAGAUUAAGUUUCUUUUGAGAGGUGCGCUUAGCUUUGGAGUUAGUAAUUUCCAGUUUCCGUUUGCUAUUGAAUAAGAGGAGGAAUAGACUUGUGUUUCUAUUUAGUUACUUUUAUUAUGAACGUGUAAUUUGGAGUUUGAGACUUUUGUUAUUAUUUUUAUGUCCUCGAGAGAGAUUAUUUAGUAUUUGACGUUUGGAUUUAUGGAUUUAUUUGAAUAAGAAUUGGAGGAAUUUCAGUUUGAAACUUAUGAGUAAAGAUUAUGAUUUGUGAGUAACCUCCAUCUAACACGUGCUCCGCACGUGUUAGAUUUGGGGUGUUACAAUUCUACUUCGACUCAACAUUAUCAUCACUUAGAACAUCAACUUACAACAAGCCAUCACAACACAUACACAAGAAAUUUAAAUCAAAGCAGAAUAAGUUGAAAUCACAAGGCACAACCAAAUGAAUAAUUUGCAUUCCAGUAAAAUUUAAGUUCGAAAAAUGAAUUAAGGUUGCGAUACACAGCCUGCUGGGGAAAGUGGCCUUCCAUGUUGCCCAUCACGUGGUGAAAAGAAAAAGAAAAAAAAAGAGUGAAAGAAAUGAAGAAUCAACUCACAAGUUGUAGCUUUAUGGAGAUCACAAUAUUUCCAGAUGACAACGACUGCGGCGACGAGCAGCAGCGA